UACGAAGGUGGCAAGCGUUGUUCGGAUUUACUGGGCGUACAGGGAGCGUAGGCGGUUGGGUAAGCCCUCCGUGAAAUCUCCAGGCUUAACCUGGAAAGUGCAGAGGGGACUGCUCGGCUAGGGGAUGGGUGAGGAGCGCGGAAUUCCCGGUGUAGCGGUGAAAUGCGUAGAGAUCGGGAGGAAGGCCGGUGGCGGAGGCGGCGCUCUGGAACAUUUCUGACGCUGAGGCUCGAAAGCGUGGGGAGCAAACAGG
Molecule: ribosomal RNA, 253 nt
Filed under: uncultured bacterium
Lineage: Bacteria
Description: partial 16S ribosomal RNA
Rfam family: Bacterial small subunit ribosomal RNA
Source: RNAcentral